GCUCCCAUCGUCUAGUGGCCCAGGACAUCAGGUUCUCAUCCUGGAAACACCGGUUCGACUCCGGUUGGGAGCG
RNAcentral lists this transfer RNA (73 nucleotides) under Candidatus Wildermuthbacteria bacterium. Its description in RNAcentral is "tRNA-Glu". It matches the Rfam family "tRNA". From Rfam's summary of the family: Transfer RNA (tRNA) molecules are approximately 80 nucleotides in length. Their secondary structure includes four short double-helical elements and three loops (D, anti-codon, and T loops). Lineage: Bacteria; Candidatus Wildermuthiibacteriota. The record is from RNAcentral.